AAGCUGUGUACAAACUCUGAAAUGUGGUCUAAAUACGGUACAUUAGGAAUGCACGGACCAUUAAAUAUGCCGCAAAUGUGGUACCUCCGGGCAGCAGACCAGUACUGUAGUCUCAAUUCACAGAGGUGCACAGACCAUUAAAUGCUUUGUGAAUGUGCUACAUUAUGCUAUGCAUUCGAGGUCCACAAACCAUAAAAUACUAAUGUGGUACAUUUGAAUGCAGACCAUGAAAUGCGAUGUGAAUGUGGGACAUCAUUUGGUGGACCUUUAAAGUUGAUCUAGUCAUACUAAAGUAGAGGUGCACACUACACAGACCAUUAAAUGUGAUCUAGAAAGCUACAUAUGACAUCAAAUGCGAUGAUAAGUAAUGGUACAUUAGGUGCAUAGACCAUUAAAUGUGGAAAUGCAGUACAUUUGUGGUGAAUGCCAUUAAAUAUUAUACAUACAUCAAAUUUGAGGCGCAGGGACAUUAACUCUGUAAAUAGGGUACAUUAAAGCAUCUUAUUCUAUGCAAUGUAAUUCCACGAGAACUGCACAGAUCAUUAAACAUGUAAAUGUGGUACAUAGAAGGUGCACGGAUGUUUGAAUUAAGGCUGCAUGUAC
Hippocampus comes (tiger tail seahorse) is the source of this 603-nucleotide long non-coding RNA. RefSeq lists it as uncharacterized. The transcript has 2 exons. NCBI's taxonomy places the organism in Eukaryota, Metazoa, Chordata, Actinopteri, Syngnathiformes, Syngnathidae. The record is from RefSeq and is a predicted model, not a curated record.